Molecule: non-coding RNA, 5228 nt
Organism: Oryzias latipes (Japanese medaka)
Lineage: Eukaryota; Metazoa; Chordata; Actinopteri; Beloniformes; Adrianichthyidae
Source: RefSeq, a predicted model, not a curated record
UCUUGUCUUGUCUAAUUAGCACUAGUUUAAAAAAAAUACAUUUCAUUGAUUUGAAUUCAUGAAGAUGCAAUCUCAAUUUGUUCAUUGAAACCAUUAUUCGCUUUCCUUCAAUGCCAUUUCUUCCACUUUGAGACAAAGCCUACUUUUCUAUUUUUUUUCUGAAUGUCAGCAAAUAAACCUUGUUUUGAUUAAAUCACUAAUUCUAAAAAAGAAAUCUGUCAAAAACAAGGCAAAGAUUGUUUUUAAUGGAAAUGUGGAAACAAAAAAGUCAAUAUAGGAUUGGAUUUGUUAAUAACUAAAGCAAAUCACAACCUUGUAAAUUUGAAUCACAUCAGUUUGUGAGUUUCUCAGUGUUAUUCAGCCUUUUGUAAGCGUAUUGCUCAUGUGCUUUAUAGGAUUUUGCCUUAUUUUUUGCUUUUUAUUAUGCUUUUAGUUCCCUUGAGAUAAAUAAUCAGUUUCGUUGUAUGUCUGUUAAAGCUGCAAACAAAAUCUUCAACAGAACAACUUGAAAAAGCAAAGAGGAUCAUCAUAUCUAUUCCGAAAGUCCUCAUUUAUUUUACACCUCCCCAUGAUUACUGUAUAUGGAGUCGUAUCGAGGUACCCAUGGGUUGCUGUUCUACGUUCUGCAGUGUUUGAGCAUCCAAUCUUGUUUGAGGUCAAAGUACAUCAAGCUUUCAGGCUUGGUCCAAUAGUUCCAUGCUUGGCUGAAUGUGGCCCACGCUGGGCUGAGACAUCACGGCAAGUCCACAGGACGCGAGGUAGGAUGAGUUAACCACAGGGAUCUGAGCGGAUUUACUCACCUGCCAGCAUCCUUUUUUGGUCAAUGGUGCACCUAUUGUACAGCCUCAAUAAUAUGCUAUAAGCAACACUGUGGCAUAGAACAAACAAAGGCUUGGCAAAGAGUCGAACCGGUUGUUGUCUGACUUUAGGUAAUGUCAAACAAACGGAGAGGAGGAAAACCAAAAUGCUGCAGAUCGCAGGAAAAUUGUUUGAUGUUCUAUUUGUCGUGGUUGCAAGAAUAGAAAAUGUUGAAGUCUUUGAGGGUUAAGAAGAAACGCAUCAAAUCAGAUCAUCAAUCCGAUCUAUUCCUUAAUAAGCCUGUAAGGUGAAAGUAUGACGGAAUGUAGUUCUUUCACAUUAUUUGAUAGAACUUAUAAAGGAAUUAAAAAAUGACACGCUCUGAAAAGAUUGACUUUACUUCGGAGCGAGGAGAAACAGAGGGAGUCCACACAGAUUUUUGUUCUGCUUCUCUGCAAAGCUUCAUGAAAGAUUGCACCAGUCUGCAUGCUUAACUUCAAUUCUGUCAAAAAGGAACAAAUAUAACAAAAAGCGAUCAUACUUGGACCCUUUGGGAUCAGAGCCUUAGCUCCAGUGUUGACUUACUUUAAAUCCCUGUAACUUUUCAACCAUUGAUGCAAUCAAGAUAAUUCCAACAAAUUCUGAGAUCCCCAAAAAGCAGCUUUGUGCUUAACAGUGGUUUCUAUUCCACAACUGUAUAUGCUUUUGAUGAAAACCUGCCUAAAAGUAAAAAGCUCACAGACACAAUUUUUGACCUUUAACUUUGUCCUUUGAAGACAGAGAAAAAAUGUUUUAUUUUUAUUUUUUACUUUUCAACGUCAUGUUUGCAUCUGAUUUGCCUCUUUUUUAUUUCCAGGUAUGUUUGAAAACUGUUGGAAAUUCACACAAUUCAAUGUUAGAUUUUUUUUUGUUUUUUUAAUUUUUUAUUUCAUCCAAGUCACUUAAAUCAUUUAAAUCUACUACAUUUUUGCUACUUUGUACAACAGGUGAAAGUUAAAGAUUGAAUCAAAGGAAUCUCUUGUUUGGCAGGUCAUGCAUUGAUGCCUUUAACUGUUUGUGAACACAUAAGACGUUCAAUGUGUUUAACCCCUUAUGUGUUCCAUCAUCAAAUUUAAGGUAUACUAUAUAUAUAUUUUUUAAAAAGGAAAAACUCUAAAGCAUUAAGAUAAAAUGUUGUCCGACCUUGAAAAAGUCUCUUUUACACAAAUAAUUUUUCAAAUUGCAAAUUAUUCUGAAAUACCUUCAGCCUAAUAAGACCUUGAAUUCUGAAAACUGCACUCUGUUAGCAUAUAGGAUGUAAUCCACUGGAGGAAUUUAUCAUUACUGUGCGAGGCCUGACGGUAUGUGAGCUUUUAAAAUUAAUGACAGAAGCUCUCUGACUUUUAGUCCAUCUAAAAUUUUCAUUAAAUUUCAUUAUUCAGCUCUCUCUGUGGCCCUGAAUUAAUAAACUCCAGGUAUCAUACCAUGAAUUCAUAUUACAUUUGAGACGCAUAGAGGCAGGUAUGCAGUUCUUUUUCUCUCCCAUUCACAAUAUUCUAAAAACACAGAAUUAAAAAAGUAAGUUCAAAUCACUUCUGCUCGAUGCAGAACUUUGGUUAUUACCUUCAAAGUGGAUCGCGAGGACAAAGUGGAAAACGCUGCCGCCUCCCGCACACGCACACAUGCAGUGAGGUGCUAUUUUAGUAGAGGUUGAAAUCAAUGGUUCUACCAUAUAUCACUCAAUUGGCUGGGAAAACAUCUCUUUUUACUGACACUGACAAAUUAAGGGCAAGAUUUUUCCUUCAGAGGCUGAAAACCUUUCAUCUCUGAAUCGGUUUCUAGAGUCGUACACAUGAGAUAUGUGAUGCUAAAUAUGUUGCAACUAAGAAAAAAGGUUUCCCUUUCAGCUCAACAAAAUCUUUCAGACUUGAUACUGUAGAUUCCGCUUUUACCAAACAGUAGAUUUUCCUGUUUUCAUUUUCCAGAUGUAUCUUCAGAUUAUAUCGACAGUUUGGACUACAGACCAUUGGACUGUGAAUAGCAGAUUUCUGCUGUGAGCAGGGUUCAUGUUUGUUUACCCCGGGAGUGACGGCAGAGAGGUUAAAGCUCCCUUUAGGCUCUAUAAAGAGCCUGAGCUGGAAGGCAGUGUGAACAACUGUUAACAGCGCUGCCCCUGAUGGGUUUUCUUUAACUAAGUCUUGAAGAGCUUUUUAUACUGUGACUUCUCUUUCAAGAAGAAGGCAAGCAUUCAGGUCUCCUCUCUUGGGCUUUGAACCUUCAAAUUGUGAGAGAGAUGGAGGGAAGGUUUGAGCGCGAUUGCUUGACGAUCAGACCACCGUAGAGGGAGGAAGAAUCCCUGAGAUUUAAAGCUCCCGUUUGUUUCAACGGGCAGUAUGUAUCCUUUACAGCUCCUGUUUUGAUCAAGGACGGUGGGUGACCAAUGAACUGCUGCAACUGCGUCAGUUUGUCACUGCGAAGAGUCCUGGCAUGUGGACCAUUUAUCAGAGAUGGGGGCUGCAUGACACCAACCCAAACCUCUUACUGUUUAAAAAUAAAAUAAAAAACUAUAAAAGAAAGCGUCCAGUUUACAACUAUCAAACUCACGUGCUGUUUUUGCCUAAUUACAUGUACAUGGUAUAUUUUUCUCAACAACAACAAUGGGUGUUUAAUUGUGUUUUAAUUUAACAAAAAUACAGAAUCUUUAAGCAGGUUUUUAAACGUGUUUGGCUGUAGCUGAACUCGUUUUAGGCUAGCAGUGUUAGUCUAACACUCCUCAAAGCAGUUUUUGGGGGAGUGGUGGCCAGUCAAAGUGGUUACUUUGAGUUUAUCCAAAGGAGUCCAAUCACUGCCUUUUUAAAAAUCGCAUAAAUUCUUUCAAAAGAAGAAACUGUAGGUUUUUCUCUUCAUUAAAGACUUUUCUAUACUUACAAGUUAACCCUUUAACACCGGGAUGUUAAUAAACCGUAACUCUACACCCAUUAACGUGAUCAACGUGAAUCAGCCGAUUCUGAUUCACCUUUUCAUAUUGGCUUUGCAAUUUACUGGUGGCAAAAAGCCACUUUUUCUCCACGACAGGAUCAGCUCAUUUAUGCUGAUUGUGGGAAUGAUUGUCACCCAUUGGCCAUAGAAAAAACUAAUAGAUAUCAACCCUUUUACAAAAACUAUUAAUUAAUCCACAGUGUUCUGAUGAUUAAAACUUAAAUAAGUUUUAAGAAAUGAUUUUCUUACAUAUUUUCAAAUUGACAAAUUGUUCAACAUUGUGCAUUGUGGUUCAUAUUUGCCAAUCUAAUGAGCAUCGAUGCACACACUGGAUUUUGGAAUUGUGGAAUUGGACACCCCGAUAAAAUGGCAAACACCCAAUACGGUGCAUUAAAAGGUUAGUGGUGAGGUGAAUAAGGACACAACUGUAGUGUUGUGGCAAGCAUCUCUCAAAGAUCUCAUAGUUACAUACACUGCCGUAGAGCAGUGGUAGGGCGGUCGACCUAUGAUCGUUAGAUUGCAGGUCCGAUUCCCGCCCGUGUGUGGACAUGUCCUUGGGCAAGUCAUUGAACCCCACCUUGCCUCUGGUGGAAGGUUGGCGUCAGUGUUCGCCAGCGGAGCCGCCAUCAGUAUGUGAAUGUGUGGGUCUUCGAUGAAGGUAGAGAUGCGCUAUACAAGUAUACGCCAUAUAUACGCCAUACUUUACAAACAGAGAAUUUUGUUUCCAGUCUGGGGGAAUACUAAUAGUUCCAAGAAUUUCCAUUACAAGAACCUAGAAUUGUGGGUGGCUGGGGGUGGGGGGCAGAGCCUUUAGCAAUCAUACUCCUACUUUUUUUCUUUUUAAGAUGUUUAUGCUGACUUUGUCUUUAAAGCUACACUUAAUACAUUUGUUCUGAUAUAAUACCCUUUCUUUAAGGAUGAUCUUGUGUAAUGUUAGUUUCCUGCCCCUCUUACACAUAAGGGUUGUUAUCCCAGACCAUGGAGGAAGUCAUAUUUGUUCAAUAUUUAGUUAGGUAUGAUGACAAACUCAUAACUCAUUUACUUUCUUUUUCUCUGCCCUUCAUCUGUGAGGGAAUAGGGAGGCAGUGCUUACAGCCAUAUCCAGUGGGAGAUGGUCCUGAACCCUCUCUCUGGGCCCGGCCUCUCUGCUCUCUGGCUCCACCCCUCUGUCUCUGUGAGUGACUAAGCAAUGACAUGGUUAUGCUGCUAUAGACCUGGACCGCUGGGGUUUGUCUAAAGACCUACUAGGCAUUUUCCCUACCUUUCUCACUCUUUCUUAACAACAGCUGUGUAUAUCAUGGUUUGCAAUACGGACAUUUAUCUUACUUGACUUAUAAGAGAGGCUUCUCUUGGUAUGCUUCAUAUCCUCUAGGUCAGGGGUGUCCAUACUUUUCCGGCAUUAGAGCUACUUUUAAUAAAAUCAGCUUCAAAACAUCUGCACACGCACAAACACACACAGAUCUGUGUGUGUA